AGAUAUUAUGAUAUUUUCCUCCUCUGUCUCGUCUCACUAUAAUAUAUAAAUAACAAAUUGCAUUUUAAAAUUACGCAUCAAGGAGCAAGAACGAACUUUUGGUGGUUGCAGCUAAGCACGCAGUAUACAUUGUUAAAACGAGCGAUGCGCAAACGACAAACCAAUUUUUAUAUCUGUUGGAUUAAUGUUGCGUGAAAAACAAACUCACUACUCAAGAAAAGACAAUUUACCACCAGUGACAACAUCAUAACUCAAAACGUUUAAUGAUCUAAGGAAUGGAAAAAAAACUCAACAGUUUAUUUUUAAGAAGACAUCUCACCCGGACAUGUUGUGGAGACAACGAAGGUCUACAAGUCGUUCCUUUGACUUGUGACAUAUUUACCGACAGUCCUUGGGAAACGCACCAGUGACAAAAUCUAAUUGGACAAGUAGACCAUUCCUACGUUUCGGCAAUUUAUUAUUAUUUAUUUUAAACAUGAGUGACGAAUAUUUGGCAAGUAAGUACACCGUACAUCAGUCGUGGGAACCCGUUGUAACGUGUAGUGUCCGUUAUACGGGUAGCAGAAAAUCUGGACACUAACUAGUUUAAUUUAAGGUUUUUUUUUUUACUACAAAAAUGCCAAUGUAAAACGGUAGAACUCCUGAGUGCCGAAUUUGUUUAUAAUUAAUAUUUAGUAUUUAGUGAUAACUAUAACAGAUACAUUUUUUGUCAAUUUAUUAUUCUUUUAACUAUUAUUUGUAAUGCACGGUUAUAAAUACACAUAGUACUGUAAGUAGGAGGUACCUAACUAAUUAUUAAUUUAAUGUAAUAUAAUUAACAUUGGAACGAAUAAACAGAGUUGUAAACUAUAACUAUAACUUAAUAGACAUAAACCUGAUUUUAAAAGGGGUUUCAAGACAUGCAGUCUUGAGCUCACUGAUUUGCGUUUAUGUUCGAAGUACGAGCUCCAGUCAAACGUUUAUCAAAUUGUUACCCUAGGUACUUUACAUCGUUUGCUUGUGGAAUGACCUUGUUGUUGAAUGUGACAGGUGGGAAAUCGGACUUACGCAUUGUGAAAGUUACAUGAGUGGAUUUGUUUUCAUUGAUUUUAAUUUUCCACCGAUUUGUCCGUAUUAUGUUUAUCAUAUUUAGGUGACUUUGGAUCAUUCUGCAGACGGUCGACGACGUGAAUGACAGUCUUACCGUCUAACGGGUACACCUCGUAACAAUCUGAUGCCACGACAUAAGCGGCCCUCUGCAAGUCGUCCAACGCCUGCCGACCGUUGGCCAUCAUCGAACCGAAGUCGGCAUUCAUGACCGCUGACCAGUAUACCAACGUCCGUCGACACGUCGUCAUCGAAGUCUUGAAAGGCACACAGGACGGUCUUCAGAUCACUCAUAAACGACUAUGGGGUAGCCGUGACUUACAAUGCUCGCUGGGAGAGGGUUAGGCAUAGAUUAUAUUUUAAUGCAAAAUUAAAUUAUAAAAACGCUAUAAGUGUUUACUCGAUGAUUAUAAUAUAUUUUCAAAUGUUUAUUAUAGCUAUAACACAAUAAGGUUUUUAAGCAUUGCCACAGGACACUCUUUACACGGUAUGCAAAAUCUAUUUGAAAAUAAAGUCGUUAAAAAAUUUAA
Long non-coding RNA from Acyrthosiphon pisum (pea aphid), 1616 nucleotides. RefSeq lists it as uncharacterized. The record is from RefSeq and is a predicted model, not a curated record. Lineage: Eukaryota; Metazoa; Arthropoda; Insecta; Hemiptera; Aphididae. The transcript is spliced from 3 exons.